GAUGAAGAACGUAGCGAAAUGCGAUAAGUAAUGCGAAUUGCAGAAUUCCGUGAGUCAUCGAAUCUUUGAACGCACAUUGCGCCCCCUGGUAUUCCGGGGGGCAUGCCUGUUCGAGCGUCAUUUCACCACUCAAGCCUCGCUUGGUAUUGGGCAACGCGGUCCGCCGCGUGCCUCAAAUCGUCCGGCUGGGUCUUCUGUCCCCUAAGCGUUGUGGAAACUAUUCGCUAAAGGGUGUUCGGGAGGCUACGCCGUAAAACAACCCCAUUUCUAAGGUUGACCUCGGAUCAGGUAGGGAUACCCGCUGAACUUAAGCAUAUCAAUAAGCGGAGGA
RNAcentral lists this unclassified non-coding RNA (331 nucleotides) under soil metagenome. RNAcentral describes it as "partial contains 5.8S ribosomal RNA, internal transcribed spacer 2, and large subunit ribosomal RNA". The stretch from base 1 to 120 matches the Rfam family "5.8S ribosomal RNA", at positions 35 to 154 of the family's 154-position model. The record is from RNAcentral.